UACGUAGGUGGCGAGCGUUGUCCGGAUUUACUGGGCGUAAAGGGAGCGUAGGCGGAUUUUUAAGUGAGAUGUGAAAUACUCGGGCUCAACUUGAGUGCUGCAUUUCAAACUGGAAGUCUAGAGUGCAGGAGAGGAGAAUGGAAUUCCUAGUGUAGCGGUGAAAUGCGUAGGUAUAUGGAGGAACACCGGUGGCGAAAGCGGCUCUCUGGCCUGUAACUGACACUGAGGCUCGAAAGCGUGGGGAGCAAACAGG
RNAcentral lists this ribosomal RNA (253 nucleotides) under uncultured bacterium. Its description in RNAcentral is "partial 16S ribosomal RNA". It matches the Rfam family "Bacterial small subunit ribosomal RNA", at positions 524 to 776 of the family's 1533-position model. The record is from RNAcentral.